This 292-nucleotide ribosomal RNA is filed under the name uncultured bacterium. RNAcentral's name for it is "partial 16S ribosomal RNA". It matches the Rfam family "Bacterial small subunit ribosomal RNA", at positions 505 to 796 of the family's 1533-position model. The record is from RNAcentral.
GUGUCAGCAGCCGCGGUAAUACAGAGGGUGCAAGCGUUAAUCGGAAUUACUGGGCGUAAAGCGCGCGUAGGCGGCUAAUUAAGUCGGGUGUGAAAGCCCCGGGCUCAACCUGGGAAUUGCAUCCGAUACUGAUUGGCUAGAGUAUGAGAGAGGGAGGUAGAAUUCCACGUGUAGCGGUGAAAUGCGUAGAUAUGUGGAGGAAUACCGGUGGCGAAGGCGGCCUCCUGGCUUAAUACUGACGCUGAGGUGCGAAAGCGUGGGGAUCAAACAGGAUUAGAAACCCCCGUAGUCC